CACAGUGAAACCCUUGCCCAUGGAAACUUCUUAAUAAAAGAAUAAAAAUAAAAUAGGCUUGGAGAUACAACUUACCAGAGGGAAACCAAUCAGUAGAGCUGCAUUUCCCGUGUGUGAAGUGACACAGUAGGAAGACGGGCAGAGAAAGAGCCCCUGUUCCAAGCUGGCCGUCAUUCAGCUGAGAAGACGGCUUUCCUGGAGGCUCCACGCACACCAUGCCGCCGCACCCUCUCCAGCUGAUCUGUGGCCAAGCUGCCUCACGGGCAAUACCGAGCAUGUUUUAUAUAAGGCUUUCAAAGCUGCUGCUGCUGCUGCUGCCACUCCUGCAGUGGCUAUAACCUGGCCUUCAAUGUCUCUGUCUAGACAGAUGCAUGAUUGAAUAAAGGAUUCAUCCAA
Homo sapiens (human) is the source of this 396-nucleotide long non-coding RNA. RefSeq lists it as uncharacterized. The record is from RefSeq and is a predicted model, not a curated record. The transcript has 2 exons. NCBI's taxonomy places the organism in Eukaryota, Metazoa, Chordata, Mammalia, Primates, Hominidae.